UGUAUUUAAUUAUUUCAAAAAUAAAUUAAUAUUUGUUUAAAUAAUAGGUUGAUUGUAGGUACUGAAAGUAAAAAGCGAUUCAAAUAAUGUUUAACAAGUAAAAAGUAAGUAUAUCUCCAUUCGGAUGUAACUAUAGCGCGAUUGGUUGACGAGCCAGUCAUUUUAGAGCGUAGUAGGGACUGGGAUUAACCAAUGAAGAAGCCGUAGUACGAUCUUCCGCCACGCCGGCCUGAAUCGCAUUCGCGCCGAUCGGUUUUCUUUAGUUGGUCCCGUGCGACGCGACGCGUUCCUUCUUCCUGGCGUUCUCGUUUCUUUCUAGGACUAUUUUCUACGUGUUUUGCCUUCUAUCGUGACUUUGGACGCCAUCCAUUCACCUCGUCAUCAUUUUAACGUCCUUAUUCUCUAUUCUUCUAUUUUUAUCUUUUUUUUUGUUCUUUAAAAAUCAAAAAUUGUUCUAAGUGCAACCAACAACAACAACACAACAACAACAACACACAUUUUAACAUUUUAGUGUUACGUGCAAGAACAGUGUGUUCUAUUCACUUUUCGCUUCCUCGAUCAUUAUCGUGGAUUAACAGUGAUUGAAAGAAAGGGAAACAAAAAGUAUCUGCUUUUUGUAUUUUGUAUUAUCGUGAGGUAGUAGUUCGUUCGAAUUCGUUCUAUUUAAACGAAUUAUUUUAUCCUCUUAUCGACUUUUUUAUUUUUUUUUUCAACCGUAAUCCCCGUUACGUUAUCGAGUGUCAAAAUUGACACGAUAGGUACCCUAGAUAAGGUACCAUAUCUUUUUCUCAUCGUAUAUUUAGGAAAACCUAGAAGAUUAGUGUGUACAAGUUGAGGAACAAAUUAUGAACAGAACUUUACUCGUUAAUUUACGAACGAUCUUAAUCCAUCUACGAUGGAUUUGAAGGUGUGCUCGCGACAAGUUCACGACGGUUACGCGACGAUAAGAUCGCGUGGUCGUAACAGACCGCGUCCGAUCACAGAUUCGGAAGAAAAUUUGAUAGCGGACAGUGGCGGUAGUGGCGGUGAUUGUAGUGGUUCUUAUACGUUAAGCUCGCGUAUUCAAAUUUCGACUAGAAAUUUUACCGACGACGACGUUCAUAGGACAUCUUCGGACCAACGUUGGACGAACAAUGGGAAAACAAUAGUCGAAACUUACGGGACAUUGCGCGCACCGUC
Molecule: long non-coding RNA, 1179 nt
Filed under: Polistes fuscatus (common paper wasp)
Lineage: Eukaryota; Metazoa; Arthropoda; Insecta; Hymenoptera; Vespidae
Description: uncharacterized LOC122522074, transcript variant X2
Source: RNAcentral